AUUCCCCUACACUGCAUGGAUCUGAGCAGUAUUUGACAACUUUGGCGCUCAGGUCAGGGCCAUUUGGGGAAAUAAGACAUGUGGGGUUCCUGUAUGUUUUGGGGUACUUUUUAUGUUUGUCUCUCUAUAUCUGUGAGAUAAUUCAUUGACUCCCAAGACAUAGAGACAUCUGGGCGGAGCUUGCAUUGUAUUGUAUGGAGACCCUAUGCCGGGUUCUGUGUAUAAAAUCAGUUGUACUCCCAGAACUGUGUGUCAUCCAGUUACUACCCUGUUUCAGGAAGGAGAAUUUCGAAGAAGACCCCAGUCAAGCUACAACAACUGGGGCAUAAGUGCUGCAGUUUCCCUG
Non-coding RNA from Pelobates cultripes (western spadefoot toad), 346 nucleotides. NCBI's taxonomy places the organism in Eukaryota, Metazoa, Chordata, Amphibia, Anura, Pelobatidae. The record is from the annotation of a GenBank genome assembly.